UGCAAGUCGGGCGCGCCCUUCGGGGUGAGCGGCGGACGGGUGAGUAACGCGUGGGAAUAUGCCCUUCUCUAAGGAAUAGCCUCUGGAAACGGAGAGUAAUACCUUAUACGCCCUUUUGGGGAAAGAUUUAUCGGAGAAGGAUUAGCCCGCGUUAGAUUAGGUAGUUGGUGGGGUAAUGGCCUACCAAGCCUACGAUCUAUAGCUGGUUUGAGAGGAUGAUCAGCCACACUGGGACUGAGACACGGCCCAGACUCCUACGGGAGGCAGCAGUAGGGAAUCUUAGACAAUGGGGGCAACCCUGAUCUAGCCAUGCCGCGUGUGUGAUGAAGGCCCUAGGGUCGUAAAGCACUUUCGCCAGAGAUGAUAACGACAGUAUCUGGUAAAGAAACCCCGGCUAACUCCGUGCCAGCAGCCGCGGUAAUACGGAGGGGGUUAGCGUUGUUCGGGAUUACUGGGCGUAAAGCGCACGUAGGCGGAUUAGUAAGUUAGAGGUGAAAUCCCAGGGCUCAACCCUGGAACUGCCUUUAAUACUGCUAGUCUUGAGUUCGAGAGAGGUAAGUGGAAUUCCGAGUGUAGAGGUGAAAUUCGUAGAUAUUUCGGAGGAACACCAGUGGCGAAAGCGGCUUACUGGCUCGAUACUGACGCUGAGGUGCGAAAGUGUGGGGAGCAAACAGGAUUAGAUACCCUGGUAGUCCACACCGUAAACGAUGAAUGCCAGACGUCAGCAAGUAUACUUGUUG
Molecule: ribosomal RNA, 740 nt
Filed under: uncultured marine bacterium
Lineage: Bacteria
Description: bacterial SSU rRNA
Rfam family: Bacterial small subunit ribosomal RNA
Source: RNAcentral